Danionella cerebrum is the source of this 74-nucleotide non-coding RNA. Lineage: Eukaryota; Metazoa; Chordata; Actinopteri; Cypriniformes; Danionidae. The record is from the annotation of a GenBank genome assembly.
GUUUCUGUAGUGUAGUGGUAAUCACAUUUGCUUCACCUGCAAAAAAGUCCCAAGUUCAAAACUGGGUGGAAACA